UCGAGUGGCGAGAACCUGAGAUCGAGUGGAGAGAACCUGAGAUCGAGUGGAGAGAAGCUGAGAUCGAGUGGAGAGAAGCUGAGAUCGAGUGGAGAGAACCUGAGAUCGAGUGGAGAGAAGCUGAGAUCGAGUGGUGAGAACCUGAGAUCGAGUGGAGAGAAGCUGGGAACCAGUGGAGAGAAGCUGGGAUCGAGCAGAGAGAAGCUGAGGUUGAGUGGAGAAAAGCUGGGGUCAAGUGCGGAGAACCUGAGAUCUAGUGAGAAGUUGGGGACCAGUGGGGAGAAGCUGAAGGGUUCAAGAAUGGGGAGCAUAAAUGAGAACAUUGAAAAAGUGACAGAAGUUACUGGUGAUGAAAGAGUGAUGGCAUUUACUGAUGAUGAGAUGGAAAUUCCUUUUGAAAGUGUCAAAGGGAGUGAUGAACUGCAAGGGACUGAGGAAGGAGUGGGAGUUGAGAGGGGCAUCUUGCAUGAAGUGAGAGACAUUACUGACGAAUCUGUUUCUAUGGAAAAGAAAGAUGUUAUAGGUGAAGGUACCAGUGAAUGAAGCAGAUGAAGGGUUGACACCAAAGAAGGAAAUAGAGGCAGACAGGGGAAGUCAGAGGAGAAAUUAGAGCCAGACAGAACAUUAUUGACACCGAAGGGGUAAAGUUGAGAGAGGAAACGAGAGAGUCUGAGCCUAAAAUAAAAGUGAGUGGAAGUGAGUUAGAAGAGCUGCUGGGGCUGAAGGCAGAGGCCAGAAUCAAAGGAAACAGAGGAGUAUGUGGUUCAGAGAGAAGUGGGAACAUAUGGAGGAGAAAGAGAGGACGUGGUAACAUGUUGACAGAGGAAACUUGGAUAUUGAGAGAAAAGCUGUGACCGGGGAGCUCAUAGGGAAAUGUUUGAGAAAAGGAUGGAGGAUGGACUAGAAGGAUUUAGUCUGACACAUGAUGGGGUGUAUGAGAUGGAGGAGAAUUGCACCAGAAUAAAGGGUAGAUUUUGAGGGUUGUGGAAGAAGGUGCAGGCUGAAGUAGACAAAAUUUCUGAAAGAAUGAAGGGCUCCCAAGUGACAAAAGCAGGAGGAGAGGAGAUAAGAAAGAAGUGAGGAAAAAACAUAAGAAGCCACAUGCUGUAAUGGUGAUUGUGUUUAUUGAUCUCUGCCAUCCCGAGAUUGUCACUCCUAGCCUCCUCUGGAAACUCUCUGAGUGCUGGGGAAUCGCUUCUCUUAAAAGAGGCCCAUACAGGCAUGAGGUCAUACUUGGGCAGUUUUUGGCUGUGUGAAAAUUGCACCACACAGUAUACAAAUGAUGAACCAAACAAUUACAUUCGUUCUUUGGCUGGAUUGCAUUUUCUCCUGGGAUCUAGAUGCAUUUCACCAGGGCCACAGAAAGAAAAAUGAAGACCAUGAUACCGUGACAAAUGCCAACUGCCUCGUGACAGGGAAGAUGAUGCCAUCAGAUCCGUGCUUCACAUAGAGAAGUCCAAAGCAUAGAUGGAGUCACCCAGGCAUGG
Long non-coding RNA from Cebus imitator (Panamanian white-faced capuchin), 1487 nucleotides. RefSeq lists it as uncharacterized. NCBI's taxonomy places the organism in Eukaryota, Metazoa, Chordata, Mammalia, Primates, Cebidae. The record is from RefSeq and is a predicted model, not a curated record. The transcript is spliced from 3 exons.